RNAcentral lists this unclassified non-coding RNA (3056 nucleotides) under Megachile rotundata (alfalfa leafcutting bee). RNAcentral's name for it is "putative pre-mRNA-splicing factor ATP-dependent RNA helicase PRP1, transcript variant X2". Lineage: Eukaryota; Metazoa; Arthropoda; Insecta; Hymenoptera; Megachilidae. The record is from RNAcentral.
AGUUUGCCAUUUUGUGACGCCUUGUGUGGAAGUUCGUAAACAGAUUUUGCUUUGCUUGCCUGCGGAGGGACAAGAAUUAUGUCAAAACGGAGAAUCGAAGUUGUGGAUCCGUAUGUUAAACGGAAAGCCAGGGAUGGAUCAACAACAUCUAAUAAUAUAAGCGUACCUACAACAGCGCCAAAAAGUCAGGUUCAGGUGAAUCCUUAUAAUGGAUUACCGUAUACACCACGAUAUCAUGAGUUUUAUCAAAAGAGAAUUACCUUACCUGUAUUUGAAUAUCGUGCCGAUUUUAUGAGGUUAUUGGCACAACACCAAUGUAUUGUGCUUGUCGGAGAAACAGGAUCGGGUAAAACUACGCAGAUACCGCAAUGGUGCGUAGAAUAUUCAAGCUGCAUCGGUACUAAAGGUGUUGCUUGUACUCAACCGAGGAGAGUGGCAGCUAUGUCUGUUGCGCAAAGGGUUUCAGAAGAAAUGGAUGUUGCAUUAGGACAAGAAGUAGGAUAUAGCAUACGUUUUGAGGAUUGCAGUUCUCCAAAAACUGUAUUGAAGUAUAUGACCGAUGGUAUGCUCCUUCGUGAAGGCAUGUCUGAUCCCAUGCUUGAUGCGUAUCAAGUGAUAUUGUUAGACGAGGCUCAUGAAAGAACUUUAGCCACGGAUUUACUUAUGGGUGUGUUAAAAGAAGUGAUUAAACAGAGACCAGAUUUGAAACUUGUGAUUAUGAGUGCAACUUUAGAUGCUGGGAAAUUUCAACAGUAUUUUGACAAUGCACCUCUAAUGAAUGUACCUGGCAGAACGCAUCCUGUUGAAAUCUUUUAUACGCCUGAACCUGAAAGAGAUUAUUUAGAGGCUGCUAUCAGGACUGUUAUUCAAAUACACAUGUGCGAAGAAGUGGCAGGAGAUUUGCUUUUGUUCUUAACUGGUCAGGAAGAAAUUGAAGAAGCUUGUAAAAGAAUCAAAAGAGAAAUGGACAAUUUAGGCCCAGAAGUAGGUGAACUUAAGUGUAUACCACUUUAUUCUACGCUGCCACCGAAUCUUCAGCAAAGAAUUUUUGAGCCUGCACCACCGACGAAACAAAAUGGUGCUAUCGGCAGAAAAGUAGUAGUUUCGACUAACAUCGCUGAGACAUCGUUAACCAUCGAUGGUGUCGUGUUUGUAAUUGAUCCAGGAUUUGCGAAACAAAAGGUAUAUAAUCCCAGAAUUCGCGUAGAAUCUCUUCUUGUAUCACCCAUUAGUAAAGCUUCUGCUCAGCAAAGGGCGGGUAGAGCUGGACGUACUAGACCUGGAAAAUGUUUCAGAUUGUAUACUGAGAAAGCGUAUAAAAAUGAAAUGCAGGACAAUACUUAUCCUGAAAUUUUAAGGUCCAAUCUUGGAAGUGUUGUAUUACAGUUGAAGAAACUUGGUAUCGAUGACUUGGUUCAUUUUGACUUUAUGGAUCCUCCUGCACCAGAAACUCUUAUGAGAGCUUUGGAACUUCUUAAUUAUUUGGCUGCCUUAGACGAUGAUGGAAAUUUAACAGAUUUGGGGGCUGUGAUGGCAGAAUUUCCAUUAGAUCCUCAGUUGGCGAAAAUGCUUAUUGCAUCGUGCAAUCAUAACUGUAGCAACGAGAUCCUUAGCAUUACCGCUAUGCUGUCAGUCCCGCAGUGUUUUGUGAGGCCAAAUGAAUCAAAGAAAGCCGCGGAUGAUGCUAAAAUGCGAUUUGCACAUAUCGAUGGAGAUCACUUGACGUUAUUAAACGUAUAUCAUGCCUUUAAACAAAAUUUUGAAGACCCACAGUGGUGUUACGAUAAUUUCGUCAAUUACCGAUCUCUGAAAAGUGGCGAUAACGUCAGGGAACAACUGAGCAGAAUAAUGGACAGAUUUCAUUUGAAACGUACCUCAACAGAUUUUACAUCAAAGGAUUAUUAUAUUAAUAUUAGAAAAGCGCUUGUGAAUGGAUUCUUCAUGCAGGUCGCUCAUUUAGAAAGAACUGGUCAUUAUUUGACCAUCAAAGAUAAUCAAAUUGUGCAGCUUCAUCCAAGCAGUUGUUUGGACCACAAGCCAGAAUGGGUAAUUUAUAACGAGUUCGUGCUCACAACCAAAAAUUAUAUCAGAACAGUUACUGAUAUUAAACCUGAUUGGUUGCUAAAAAUAGCACCGCAAUAUUAUGACUUACAAAACUUCCCGCAAUGUGAAGCAAAGAGACAAUUGGAAGUUAUUCAAGCGAGGCUAGAUUCGAAACAAUACCAAGAAGGAUUCUAACCGCAACAUCUUUUAGAUAUCUUUAAAAGUGGCGUCAAACGAUCCGUAAUACAUUAAUUAGUUCCAUUCAACGAGUUACGCGUUUCACUUUUUUCCAAGUACACGCAAACUAAAAGGAUUCUGAUUCUAAUUACAACAAUGCGCAGAUAACUUGCCAUCUUAUGCAAUAUUUUCCUUCUCGCUCACAAUCUGUAUAGUUGUGCUGCUUUGACGACUUUACAAGAAGAAAAUUUAUUGCUAAUCGAAAGAUGCUUCCAGAUAAUGAAAGAAGCAAUUAUGAAGAAUUAAAGAUAGUCAUAACUUGUAAUAUGAAGGAUAUUUUAAAAGAACUAUGUGAUAGGUUUGAAGAAAAUCAAAUUAUUCUUAUUUAUGAAUGCUAGCAUAAUAGAAAUUUCAACCUACUGUCACUGUAAAGAAUUACGGCGUUUCAAGUCAUAUUUACAACAGUAUAAACGGAUUAAGCUUAGUUAUCAUACAAUUUGAACACUUGUCGAUAACGAUGUCCUGUUUCGAACACCGUGUGCGCUAAAAAUUUAAUAACAAUGUUAAAUUGUUUAACUUAUAUUUUUAGAACCGGAAACAUUUAAGUAGCUGGAAAUGCUAAUACGCUAUUGAAAUUAAUUUUCUCGAUGAAGAUGUAAUCUCGCUGUUUACACUCUUUUGCUUGUUUUAUCGUAUUAAAUGAUAGUUUGUUUUUGUAAAUAAAAUAUGCAGAUAUAAAAAAAAAGGACAUACAUAUAAAGAUCACAAGAUUUCUGAUCGCGAACAGUUUUCAUUGUAUUGUAUCACUUCAUUCCAAUAAAUUAAUGAAAAUAUAA